RNAcentral lists this ribosomal RNA (933 nucleotides) under bacterium NCr-8. Its description in RNAcentral is "bacterial SSU rRNA". It matches the Rfam family "Bacterial small subunit ribosomal RNA", at positions 56 to 1000 of the family's 1533-position model. The record is from RNAcentral.
UGCAGUCGAACGGUGAACACGGAGCUUGCUCUGUGGGAUCAGUGGCGAACGGGUGAGUAACACGUGAGCAACCUGCCCCUGACUCUGGGAUAAGCGCUGGAAACGGCGUCUAAUACUGGAUAUGUGACGUGACCGCAUGGUCUGCGUCUGGAAAGAAUUUCGGUUGGGGAGGGGCUCGCGGCCUAUCAGCUUGUUGGUGAGGUAAUGGCUCACCAAGGCGUCGACGGGUAGCCGGCCUGAGAGGGUGACCGGCCACACUGGGACUGAGACACGGCCCAGACUCCUACGGGAGGCAGCAGUGGGGAAUAUUGCACAAUGGGCGCAAGCCUGAUGCAGCAACGCCGCGUGAGGGACGACGGCCUUCGGGUUGUAAACCUCUUUUAGCAGGGAAGAAGCGAAAGUGACGGUACCUGCAGAAAAAGCGCCGGCUAACUACGUGCCAGCAGCCGCGGUAAUACGUAGGGCGCAAGCGUUAUCCGGAAUUAUUGGGCGUAAAGAGCUCGUAGGCGGUUUGUCGCGUCUGCUGUGAAAUCCGGAGGCUCAACCUCCGGCCUGCAGUGGGUACGGGCAGACUAGAGUGCGGUAGGGGAGAUUGGAAUUCCUGGUGUAGCGGUGGAAUGCGCAGAUAUCAGGAGGAACACCGAUGGCGAAGGCAGAUCUCUGGGCCGUAACUGACGCUGAGGAGCGAAAGGGUGGGGAGCAAACAGGCUUAGAUACCCUGGUAGUCCACCCCGUAAACGUUGGGAACUAGUUGUGGGGUCCAUUCCACGGAUUCCGUGACGCAGCUAACGCAUUAAGUUCCCCGCCUGGGGAGUACGGCCGCAAGGCUAAAACUCAAAGGAAUUGACGGGGACCCGCACAAGCGGCGGAGCAUGCGGAUAAUUCGAUGCAACGCGAAGAACCUUACCAAGGCUUGACAUAUACGAGAACGGG